GGGGACGCACUAGAUUCGACAGUAUGAUGCUCUUUAACACUGCAGGCCGACCGUUGAAAGGUGGUCGUAAAAUAACUUUCAAAAACUAAAUGCUGAUGCGCAAGCAGAAGCUGCUUUUUAUGCGCGAGCUCCGAGAGCAUAUCUCUACGCAAACGCGUAAAAUGGCCAUCACUUAAAGAUUUUCUCGAUGAUCUUUUUGAGGUGUAAACUUAGUCGAGGUGCAACCAUCGGGGUUCGACGUUCCUCUAUGGCCAAGCUCAAUACGUCUUGAUUUCCUCUUUCCUGUCAGUCGGUUACAGAGGAAAUGACCACUAUUGAUUGACUACGCCUGUAGAUGUGUUAUUUGCAUCUUGCUGGACGAGAGCUCAUUACUCUCCGUCUCCACUA
RNAcentral lists this transfer-messenger RNA (387 nucleotides) under Patescibacteria group. RNAcentral's name for it is "WO2-FULL-40-11 sp001776505 X1 Standard tmRNA". It matches the Rfam family "transfer-messenger RNA". From Rfam's summary of the family: Bacterial tmRNA, also known as 10Sa RNA or SsrA, is named for its dual tRNA and mRNA-like properties. Its role is to liberate the mRNA from a stalled ribosome. To accomplish this part of the tmRNA is used as a reading frame that ends in a translation stop signal. The record is from RNAcentral.